This 546-nucleotide ribosomal RNA is filed under the name uncultured fungus. RNAcentral describes it as "eukaryotic LSU rRNA". The stretch from base 202 to 355 matches the Rfam family "5.8S ribosomal RNA". The record is from RNAcentral. Lineage: Eukaryota; Fungi.
AAGUCGUAACAAGGUCUCCGUAGGUGAACCUGCGGAGGGAUCAUUACAAGAACGCCCGGGCUUCGGCCUGGUUAUUCAUAACCCUUUGUUGUCCGACUCUGUUGCCUCCGGGGCGACCCUGCCUUCGGGCGGGGGCUCCGGGUGGACACUUCAAACUCUUGCGUAACUUUGCAGUCUGAGUAAACUUAAUUAAUAAAUUAAAACUUUUAACAACGGAUCUCUUGGUUCUGGCAUCGAUGAAGAACGCAGCGAAAUGCGAUAAGUAAUGUGAAUUGCAGAAUUCAGUGAAUCAUCGAAUCUUUGAACGCACAUUGCGCCCCCUGGUAUUCCGGGGGGCAUGCCUGUUCGAGCGUCAUUUCACCACUCAAGCCUCGCUUGGUAUUGGGCAACGCGGUCCGCCGCGUGCCUCAAAUCGUCCGGCUGGGUCUUCUGUCCCCUAAGCGUUGUGGAAACUAUUCGCUAAAGGGUGUUCGGGAAGCUACGCCGUAAAACAACCCCAUUUCUAAGGUUGACCUCGGAUCAGGUAGGGAUACCCGCUGAACUUAA